GGCCAUAUCACGUUGAAACACCGGUCCCUGUAAGAUUACCGAAGUUAAGCAUCGUAAAGCUUGGUCAGUACCUAGAUGGGUGACCGCUUGGAAAUACCAGGUUCUGUAA
This is a non-coding RNA of Acanthosepion pharaonis, 109 nucleotides long. NCBI's taxonomy places the organism in Eukaryota, Metazoa, Mollusca, Cephalopoda, Sepiida, Sepiidae. The record is from the annotation of a GenBank genome assembly.